RNAcentral lists this ribosomal RNA (395 nucleotides) under uncultured bacterium. Its description in RNAcentral is "bacterial SSU rRNA". It matches the Rfam family "Bacterial small subunit ribosomal RNA", at positions 505 to 898 of the family's 1533-position model. The record is from RNAcentral.
GUGUCAGCAGCCGCGGUAAUACAGAGGGUGCGAGCGUUGUCCGGAAUCACUGGGCGUAAAGGGCGUGUAGGCGGCUGAUUAAGCCGCGUGUGAAAUCCCGGGGCUCAACCCCGGAACGGCACGCGGGACUGGUCGGCUAGAGACUGGUAGAGGCGAGUGGAAUUCCUGGUGUAGCGGUGGAAUGCGUAGAGAUCAGGAAGAACACCGGUGGCGAAGGCGGCUCGCUGGGCCAGUUCUGACGCUGAGGCGCGAAAGCGUGGGGAGCAAACAGGAUUAGAUACCCUGGUAGUCCACGCUGUAAACGAUGGGUGCUAGGCGUCGGGGGGAGCGACCCUCCCGGUGCCGUCGCUAACGCAAUAAGCACCCCGCCUGGGGAGUACGGCCGCAAGGUUGAA